CCUUUCGGGUACAUCUGCCGAAACCUGAGUGAAUUGAUUAGGCGACUCUAAACAAGUAUAAUCCUCGAGGCUUAUCCUCGAGCACUAGCCAUCCCUCGUGGAUGGUGACAUUACCAACAUGCGGGAACUUUCAACGAAGUUGGUUAACCCGCAGUCACAAACGUGGCUCACAGGCUAAAUGGUAAUGGGCGUCGCUGCGUACCAGCAAUGCUUCAGAUAUAGUCGGUCCCUAGAUAUAUCUAGGAGACUUGUGGAUUCGGUGAUCCCCACCGACUCUACAGGGGAGUAAACGUUCCGUAGGUGAACCUGCGGAAGGAUCAUUA
Molecule: ribosomal RNA, 323 nt
Filed under: Usnea sp. PH090026-2
Lineage: Eukaryota; Fungi; Ascomycota; Lecanoromycetes; Lecanorales; Parmeliaceae
Description: partial 18S ribosomal RNA
Source: RNAcentral